CCACGGGGGAUGCCUCAGUACGGCGAGUGAGCGGCAAGAGCUCAAAUUUGAAAGCUGGCUCCUUCGGGGUCCGCAUUGUAAUUUGCAGAGGAUGCUUCGGGUGCGGCCCCUGUCUAAGUGCCCUGGAACGGGCCGUCAGAGAGGGUGAGAAUCCCGUCUGGGAUGGGGUGUCCGCGCCCGUGUGAAGCUCCUUCGACGAGUCGAGUUGUUUGGGAAUGCAGCUCUAAAUGGGUGGUAAAUUUCAUCUAAAGCUAAAUACUGGCCGGAGACCGAUAGCGCACAAGUAGAGUGAUCGAAAGAUGAAAAGCACUUUGAAAAGAGAGUUAAAAAGCACGUGAAAUUGUUGAAAGGGAAGCGCUUGCGACCAGACUCGCCUCCAGGGUUCAGCCGGCAUUCGUGCCGGUGUACUUCCCUGGGGGCGGGCCAGCGUCGGUUUGGGCGGCCGGUCAAAGGCUCCCGGAAUGUAGUGCCCUCCGGGGCACCUUAUAGCCGGGAGUGCAAUGCGGCCAGCCUGGACCGAGGAACGCGCUUCGGCACGGACGCUGGCAUAAUGGUCGUAAACGACCCGUCUUGAACCACGGACCAAAAAAGUAG
Molecule: ribosomal RNA, 594 nt
Filed under: Aspergillus oryzae
Lineage: Eukaryota; Fungi; Ascomycota; Eurotiomycetes; Eurotiales; Aspergillaceae
Description: LSU rRNA
Rfam family: Eukaryotic large subunit ribosomal RNA
Source: RNAcentral